Molecule: ribosomal RNA, 465 nt
Filed under: uncultured Klebsiella sp.
Lineage: Bacteria; Pseudomonadati; Pseudomonadota; Gammaproteobacteria; Enterobacterales; Enterobacteriaceae
Description: bacterial SSU rRNA
Rfam family: Bacterial small subunit ribosomal RNA
Source: RNAcentral
CCUACGGGAGGCUGCAGUGGGGAAUAUUGCACAAUGGGCGCAAGCCUGAUGCAGCCAUGCCGCGUGUGUGAAGAAGGCCUUCGGGUUGUAAAGCACUUUCAGCGGGGAGGAAGGCGGUGAGGUUAAUAACCUCAUCGAUUGACGUUACCCGCAGAAGAAGCACCGGCUAACUCCGUGCCAGCAGCCGCGGUAAUACGGAGGGUGCAAGCGUUAAUCGGAAUUACUGGGCGUAAAGCGCACGCAGGCGGUCUGUCAAGUCGGAUGUGAAAUCCCCGGGCUCAACCUGGGAACUGCAUUCGAAACUGGCAGGCUAGAGUCUUGUAGAGGGGGGUAGAAUUCCAGGUGUAGCGGUGAAAUGCGUAGAGAUCUGGAGGAAUACCGGUGGCGAAGGCGGCCCCCUGGACAAAGACUGACGCUCAGGUUCGAAAGCGUGGGGAGCAAACAGGAUUAGAUACCCGAGUAGUC